CGAACGAGUUUAGGCUCGUGGCGUACGGCUCAGUAACACGUGGAUAACCUACCCUUAGGACUGGGAUAACCCUGGGAAACUGGGGAUAAUACUAGAUAGGCAAUUUUUCCUGGAAUGGUUUUUUGUUUAAAUGUUUUUUCGCCUAAGGAUGGGUCUGCGGCCGAUUAGGUAGUUGGUUAGGUAACGGCUUACCAAGCCAUUGAUCGGUACGGGUUGUGAGAGCAAGAGCCCGGAGAUGGAACCUGAGACAAGGUUCCAGGCCCUACGGGGUGCAGCAGGCGCGAAACCUCCGCAAUGUGAGAAAUCGCGACGGGGGGAUCCCAAGUGCCAUUCUUAACGGGAUGGCUUUUCAUUAGUGUAAA
RNAcentral lists this ribosomal RNA (362 nucleotides) under uncultured archaeon. RNAcentral's name for it is "bacterial SSU rRNA". It matches the Rfam family "Archaeal small subunit ribosomal RNA", at positions 59 to 423 of the family's 1478-position model. The record is from RNAcentral.